ACCCAUAAUCCAGUCCAGUGACCCUAAAGCCUGGAAGAAGACAAUAGGUCCACAAGGGUUAUCAAGGUCUAUCCGGAGCUUAGAGGAUGGCCAAUGCCGAGCAAAGAUAUUCAAACCAAAACGUAACUGAAGUCAAGGUAUUAAAGAUGAUUAUAAAUGCACAUGAUACUCGCAGGAGAUCAAAAGACCGUUACGAUCCUCCUCGUCAACACCUAUAAAGAGGAGAC
RNAcentral lists this long non-coding RNA (227 nucleotides) under Brassica napus (rape). RNAcentral describes it as "long non-coding RNA (BNAP_LNC015938)". Lineage: Eukaryota; Viridiplantae; Streptophyta; Magnoliopsida; Brassicales; Brassicaceae. The record is from RNAcentral.